UUGGAGGGCAAGUCUGGUGCCAGCAGCCGCGGUAAUUCCAGCUCCAAUAGCGUAUAUUAAAGUUGUUGCAGUUAAAAAGCUCGUAGUUGAAUUUCGGGAUUGACGUAAUGGUCGUGCCUUAAGGGGUAUGAACUGUUACUGUUGAUUUCUCACCUUCUGGAGAAACUUGAUGUCCUUAAUUGGGUGUCUUGCGGAUCCAGGACCUUUACCUUGAAAAAAUUAGAGUGUUUAAAGCAGGCAUUUUUGCUCGAAUGCAUUAGCAUGGAAUAAUAGAAUAGGACGGCAUGGUUCUAUUUUGUUGGUUUCUAGGAUCACCGUAAUGAUUAAUAGGGAUAGUUGGGGGCAUUAGUAUUCAAUUGUCAGAGGUGAAAUUCUUGGAUUUAUUGAAGACUAACUACUGCGAAAGCAUUUGCCAAGGAUGUUUUCAUUAAUCAAGAACGAAAGUUAGGGGAUCGAAGACGAUCAGAUACCGUCGUAGUCUUAACCAUAAACUAUGCCGACUAGGAAUCAGACGAUGUUAAUUUUUUAAUGACUCGUUUGGCACCUUACGGGAAACCAAAGUGUUUGGGUUC
This 572-nucleotide ribosomal RNA is filed under the name uncultured Glomeromycotina. Its description in RNAcentral is "SSU rRNA". It matches the Rfam family "Eukaryotic small subunit ribosomal RNA", at positions 548 to 1114 of the family's 1831-position model. Lineage: Eukaryota; Fungi; Glomeromycota. The record is from RNAcentral.